Molecule: ribosomal RNA, 500 nt
Filed under: Neoscytalidium dimidiatum
Lineage: Eukaryota; Fungi; Ascomycota; Dothideomycetes; Botryosphaeriales; Botryosphaeriaceae
Description: eukaryotic LSU rRNA
Rfam family: 5.8S ribosomal RNA (bases 173-326)
Source: RNAcentral
UGAUUCGGGCUCCGGCCCGAUCCUCCCACCCUUUGUGUACCCACCUCUGUUGCUUUGGCGGGCCGCGGUCCUCCGCGGCCGCCCUCCGUCCGGGGGGUGGCCAGCGCCCGCCAGAGGACCAUCAAACUCCGGUCAGUGAACGUUGCCGUCUGAAAAACAAUCAAUAAACUAAAACUUUCAACAACGGAUCUCUUGGUUCUGGCAUCGAUGAAGAACGCAGCGAAAUGCGAUAAGUAAUGUGAAUUGCAGAAUUCAGUGAAUCAUCGAAUCUUUGAACGCACAUUGCGCCCCUCGGUAUUCCGAGGGGCAUGCCUGUUCGAGCGUCAUUACAACCCUCAAGCUCUGCUUGGUGUUGGGCACCGCCCUUCCGCGGGCGCGCCUCAAAGACCUCGGCGGUGGCGUCUUGCCUCGAGCGUAGUAGAAAACACCUCGCUUUGGAGCGCACGGCGCCGCCCGCCGGACGAACCUUUUGAACUUUCUCAAGGUUGACCUCGGAUCAG